CAGCAGCCACGGUAAUACGAAGGGGGCUAGCGUUGUUCGGAUUUACUGGGCGUAAAGGGCGCGUAGGCGGACUGAUAAGUCAGGGGUGAAAUCCCAAGGCUCAACCUUGGAACUGCCUUUGAUACUGUUUGUCUUGAGUUCGAGAGAGGUAAGUGGAACUGCGAGUGUAGAGGUGAAAUUCGUAGAUAUUCGCAAGAACACCAGUGGCGAAGGCGGCUUACUGGCUCGAAACUGACGCUGAGGCGCGAAAGCGUGGGGAGCAAACAGGAUUAGAUACCCGCGUAGUCCAUGUUUCUUAUAC
This 301-nucleotide ribosomal RNA is filed under the name uncultured bacterium. RNAcentral describes it as "partial 16S ribosomal RNA". It matches the Rfam family "Bacterial small subunit ribosomal RNA", at positions 509 to 807 of the family's 1533-position model. The record is from RNAcentral.